RNAcentral lists this ribosomal RNA (440 nucleotides) under uncultured bacterium. RNAcentral describes it as "partial 16S ribosomal RNA". It matches the Rfam family "Bacterial small subunit ribosomal RNA", at positions 338 to 795 of the family's 1533-position model. The record is from RNAcentral.
CCUACGGGAGGCAGCAGUGGGGAAUAUUGCUCAAUGGGGGAAAACCUGAUGCAGCGACGCCGCGUGAGGGAAGAAGGAUUUCGGUAUGUAAAGCCCUUUUAGUAGGGAAGAAAAUGACGGUACCUGACGAAGAAGCCCCGGCUAACUACGUGCCAGCAGCCGCGGUAAUACGGAGGGGGCAAGCGUUAUCCGGAUUUACUGGGAGUAAAGGGAGCGUAGGCGGGAACGCAAGUCGGGCGUGAAAUCCCAUGGCUUAACCAUGGAACUGCAUUGGAAACUGUUCGUCUUGAGUGCAGGAGAGGUAGGCGGAAUUCCUAGUGUAGCGGUGAAAUGCGUAGAUAUUAAGCGGAACACCAAUGGCGAAGGCGGCUUACUGGACCGUAACUGACGCUGAGGCGCGAAAGCGUGGGGAGCAAACAGGAUUAGAUACCCGGGUAGUC